Molecule: unclassified non-coding RNA, 1225 nt
Filed under: Hevea brasiliensis (rubber tree)
Lineage: Eukaryota; Viridiplantae; Streptophyta; Magnoliopsida; Malpighiales; Euphorbiaceae
Source: RNAcentral
AAUUCAUGUUCCACAAAGAAGAAAGAUCAAUAAAAGAAGCUUCUUUUGUUUUUCUUUUUUCUCUCUUUUUUUUUUCUGGAAAUAGAAAGUAAACAAAGAUUCUAUGCUGCACAGAAAUGAAAGCAGUCUAUGACAGCAUUGUAUGAUAUGAAGAAGAUUUGUUUGCAGGGUUCAUCGAUUCUCUACUAUCUUUGGCCCUUUGUACAGCGCUCCAACUGCAGCUAAGUCUUCAGGUUGCUCUCUUUCUUCAAGCCAUGCAUAGCUUUCCCUUUCUACUUCUGGGACCGAAACCCCAUCCACUGAAAACUUAGUGAAGGGAAAGUCGAGGUAGUACGAGCAAUGCCGACCAUCAGGAUCAGAGUAAGGCGGGCCAAGCACAUCUAACACUGCACACGCAGUCACAGCCGUGAAGCAAUGCAUGUUUCCUCCGUCUGCAGGGUAAAGAAUGGACGAGUUGCACGGUGCCGUGAAGUCUGCAUCUACCUUAACUUUGGCUAACCGAACACUUCUUGAAGGAGCUGUGCCACUGGACGUGUAGACACACGCAGAUACGCCAUUCUCAGCACCGACCUCCACCCAGUCGUAUGCCUUGAUGUGCAUGGUCCCAAAGAGAAGCUUGCUGAAGACUGUCAUUCCAGGAUGGUUGUGAAGUGGAAUGACACCUGAAGGAGGCAAGCAAAAUAUUCCCAUAGAGAAUUUGUUGUUCUCAUAAAGGUGCAAAUAUGUUAUAGGAGGAGUUCGUUGACCGGCUGUCGUCCGAAAAUACGGCAUCUCCGGCGACAACCCAACAUCUACUGGCUCCAUUUUAUCCAGAACAGCUCGUAGGCGUUCAAUAUCUUCAGAAGAAGGAACGAUUCCAGUCCCACUAGAAGCGAAAACUUCCUUACAAGUUUCAUAGAGUUUCUGAACCGGCAACGGCGAGGACUUCCUAGGCCGGCGCCGGUUCUUUCUCGACUUGUUAUUCGUAGUCGUUUCUUUAGGCAAUUCACAAAACUGUUUCCCUUUGCGAUCAGCCAGAGACCUCUCAAUCCCCAUUAAAACUCCAAAAAAAUUGGUUGGAAUUUGAGGGGAAAGUGAAAUUAAGUGGCCAGUUGGAGAAUUGAGGAAAAGGGGUCGCCUUAAAAACGGAAAAUAGAGGGGAAAACGGGGAUCUGGAUAGAACCCAAAAGCGAAAAGGCCAAUAAACAGGGGAAGAAGGUACAGAUUAGUACAGAUUGUGAGGAGA